UCCACAGGCCCUCGGUUCGUAUAAUCCUCCAGAGGGCCUCCAGCACGUUGCGGUACCGAGCUGCCGGGUCAGGCUGGAGGCUCUGCAUCCGGGUCUAAAACGACAGGGGAAGAAAGCGCAAGGUUCUCUGUGGCUAUAGCAAUCUGUAUGUCCAGCUAUUCCUGUGAAGGUCAUGAUGAAAGACAAGCACCCUUGCGAAAACUGCGUCUUGCGUGGCUCUUGAAAAACUGCUUCUGGGAGACUGUGCAGAAGGCUUGGAAACCAGAGACUUGACCCUGGGUUGACACCCUUCCUGAAACAAACUGCCUGAAAUCUGUACUCACAGCCUUAAGCAGAGUGAGGUUACUCUGCACUGCACUAAGAUAUGAACGUUUGCCAGACAUUCCACCUAGCCCCUAUUACA
Sorex fumeus (smoky shrew) is the source of this 403-nucleotide long non-coding RNA. RefSeq lists it as uncharacterized. The transcript has 3 exons. NCBI's taxonomy places the organism in Eukaryota, Metazoa, Chordata, Mammalia, Eulipotyphla, Soricidae. The record is from RefSeq and is a predicted model, not a curated record.